GUGGAAGCUGAGCUGGCUCCUGUCCUCGCUGAGAACUUCUGCCAGCAUGCCUGCCAUGGGCUGGGGUGGGGGCAGCCAGCCUGACCAAAGCAUCCAUUCAUGUGGAUGGGGAGCGGCAAGAGGGGGACGGGUUCUGAAGCCGUGCCCCAGCUGCACUGCUUUGCAGGCCCUUGAGGAAGGGAUGGGCUUACGGGUGGGAAAGGUGGGGUUUUUCCCACUCUUGGAGAGGUUUCAUUCUCGACUGGAGUGGUCAGACCCUCCCCAGGCCCAUGAAACGGUGAUAACCUUUGGUGCUUUUUCUUGUUUGCAAGUCUUGUUUGGAACUGACUUUCAUGCAAUUGUUCUUUGUUUUUUCCAGGAAGAUUGCACCCGGUGCCUGGACCGGGUGGGGAAGCGCUGGCACUGUCCGUGGAGCCCAUCCAGUGCCGGCACUACCCCGGGGGGCCACGGUGUUCGGGGACAUCCCCUUCAGGAAGGACGAGGGCCUCGUGUGGGAUCAGCUCCUCUCCUGGCAGCAGGUCUGCAGAGGCUACCAGCACCUCAUGCCAUGGAAACGGCACCGCUCGGCUGCCAGUCUGGGAGGGCUGGAGGGCGGCGGGUGUUCACUUGCUGUCAAAAAUAAAUAUUUUUCUUGUCAUUAUCAUCA
Molecule: long non-coding RNA, 646 nt
Organism: Oenanthe melanoleuca
Lineage: Eukaryota; Metazoa; Chordata; Aves; Passeriformes; Muscicapidae
Exons: 2
Source: RefSeq, a predicted model, not a curated record